RNAcentral lists this ribosomal RNA (258 nucleotides) under uncultured bacterium. RNAcentral describes it as "partial 16S ribosomal RNA". It matches the Rfam family "Bacterial small subunit ribosomal RNA", at positions 96 to 353 of the family's 1533-position model. The record is from RNAcentral.
UGGCGAACGGGUGAGUAACACGUAGGUAACCUGCCUGACACAGGGGGAUAAUCCGAAGAAAUUUGGUCUAAUACCCCAUAAUACCGAUAUAGGCAUCUAUGUUGGUUGAAAGCUUUGGUGGUGUCAGAUGGGCAUGCGUUGUAUUAGCUAGUUGGUGAGGUAACGGCUCACCAAGGCGACGAUACAUAGGGGGACUGAGAGGUUAACCCCCCACACUGGUACUGAGACACGGACCAGACUCCUACGGGAGGCAGCAUG